Molecule: unclassified non-coding RNA, 430 nt
Filed under: Hevea brasiliensis (rubber tree)
Lineage: Eukaryota; Viridiplantae; Streptophyta; Magnoliopsida; Malpighiales; Euphorbiaceae
Source: RNAcentral
UUCAUGGCAGCCUUGAUGUACUCCAUCCGUUCACAUUUACGUAGCACUUUAUACUAUUCUCCAAAAUCAUUUUUCAACCGUUAAUACUAAACAUCAAUUAAUAAGGAUGGUGUGGUAAAAUACAUUAGUUACUUAAAUGGGUAUGUCAAGUCAAACAGUGACAAGUAAAAAUCAAUAGAAAAAUUAGCUUCUUUUUCAAACCUCAAGUCAACCACGAACUCGUAAAGCGAUUCCGGUUAACCUCUCAUUCAAUAUUGGUACCACUUACCAAACAGCCUUGGCAGUUCCGAUAUUGGUGGGAAUAAUGUUGAAUGAAGCAUCUCUUCUGACUAUCCAAUCGUCGACUGAUGGUCCAUUGACAGUCCUCUGAGCGGCUGUGAUGGAGUUCCCUGUGGUCCUGAUACCCUCAACAAACAGAUGAACAUCCUUG